GACGAACGCUGGCGGCGUGCUUAACACAUGCAAGUCGUACGGAAAGGCCCUGCUUUUGUGGGGUGCUCGAGUGGCGAACGGGUGAGUAACACGUGAGUAACCUGCCCUUGACUUUGGGAUAACUUCAGGAAACUGGGGCUAAUACCGGAUAGGAGCUCCUGCUGCAUGGUGGGGGUUGGAAAGUUUCGGCGGUUGGGGAUGGACUCGCGGCUUAUCAGCUUGUUGGUGGGGUAGUGGCUUACCAAGGCUUUGACGGGUAGCCGGCCUGAGAGGGUGACCGGCCACAUUGGGACUGAGAUACUGCCCAGACUCCUACGGGAGGCAGCAGUGGGGAAUAUUGCACAAUGGGCGGAAGCCUGAUGCAGCAACGCCGCGUGCGGGAUGACGGCCUUCGGGUUGUAAACCGCUUUCGCCUGUGACGAAGCGUGAGUGACGGUAAUGGGUAAAGAAGCACCGGCUAACUACGUG
Molecule: ribosomal RNA, 468 nt
Filed under: uncultured bacterium
Lineage: Bacteria
Description: partial 16S ribosomal RNA
Rfam family: Bacterial small subunit ribosomal RNA
Source: RNAcentral